Molecule: long non-coding RNA, 612 nt
Filed under: Ananas comosus (pineapple)
Lineage: Eukaryota; Viridiplantae; Streptophyta; Magnoliopsida; Poales; Bromeliaceae
Description: long non-coding RNA (ACOM_LNC014443)
Source: RNAcentral
UAAUAACCCUAUAAAUUUUUUUUUUAGGAAACUAAUCAAAUUUUCUUUUAAAGACGAUGAACGAUUCACUGCUUUCUGAACAAUUCAUCGCCUUUCUAAUUUUCCACAAAAACGGUGAAUUAUUCAUCGUCUUUUACGUAUUUACUGUUUCUUUCUAUAUCUCAUAUAUAAUUCUAUCUACCACAUAAAAAUAUCAACUAAUCACAUAUAUAAUCUUAAGAACCUGAAGAUCCUAAUAAUUUAUUCGUACAAUUUUAUAUAAUUUUAACAACCUAAAACCCUAAUAAUCUAUUCAUACAAUCCUAAUUAUUAAAUAAAAAUUCUAAUAAUUCACGUAUAAUCCUAAUAACUUCACUUUUUUCUAUUUCCCAUAUAAUCCAUGUACAAUCUUAAUAAAUACGGUGAACGAUUCACCGUCUUUAAAAAACAUGAGAGUAUGCGAUGAACAAUUUACCUCUUUUAAAAAGUAUGAAAAAUACAGUGAAUGAUUCACCGCGUUUCGAAAAAAAAUCCUACGUGGUAAAUAGAGGAUUAAUUUGCCAAAUAUAAAUUUGACCGAAUUAUCUUUUAAAUUAUAAAAUUUUAAAGAGUGAUUUUAUAAAAAAGUCCGAU